UACGUAGGGUGCAAGCGUUGUCCGGAAUUAUUGAGCGUAAAGGGCUCGUAGGCGGUCUGUCGCGUCAGGAGUGAAAACUCGGGGCUUAACCCCGAGCCUGCUUCUGAUACGGGCAGACUAGAGGUAUGCAGGGGAGAAUGGAAUUCCUGGUGUAGCGGUGAAAUGCGCAGAUAUCAGGAGGAACACCGGUGGCGAAGGCGGUUCUCUGGGCAUUACCUGACGCUGAGGAGCGAAAGUGUGGGGAGCGAACAGG
This 253-nucleotide ribosomal RNA is filed under the name uncultured bacterium. RNAcentral describes it as "partial 16S ribosomal RNA". It matches the Rfam family "Bacterial small subunit ribosomal RNA", at positions 524 to 776 of the family's 1533-position model. The record is from RNAcentral.